GAUGAACGCUGACAGAAUGCUUAACACAUGCAAGUCAACUUGAACUUCGGUUUGGGUGGCGGACGGGUGAGUAACGCGUAAAGAACUUGCCUCACAGCUAGGGACAACAUUUGGAAACGAAUGCUAAUACCUGAUAUUAUGAUUUUAGGGCAUCCUAGAAUUAUGAAAGCUAUAUGCGCUGUGAGAGAGCUUUGCGUCCCAUUAGCUAGUUGGAGAGGUAACGGCUCACCAAGGCGAUGAUGGGUAGCCGGCCUGAGAGGGUGAACGGCCACAAGGGGACUAGGACACGGCCCUUACUCCUACGGGAGGCAGCAGUGGGGAAUAUUGGACAAUGGACCAAGAGUCUGAUCCAGCAAUUCUUUGUGAACGAUGAAGUUUUUCGGAAUGUAAAGUGCUUUCAGUUGGGAAGAAAAAAAUGACGGUACCAACAGAAGAAGUGACGGCUAAAUACGUG
This 454-nucleotide ribosomal RNA is filed under the name uncultured bacterium. Its description in RNAcentral is "partial 16S ribosomal RNA". It matches the Rfam family "Bacterial small subunit ribosomal RNA", at positions 28 to 507 of the family's 1533-position model. The record is from RNAcentral.